Molecule: ribosomal RNA, 253 nt
Filed under: uncultured prokaryote
Description: partial 16S ribosomal RNA
Rfam family: Bacterial small subunit ribosomal RNA
Source: RNAcentral
UACGGAGGUGGCGAGCGUUGUUCGGAAUUAUUGGGCUUAAAGCGCGUGUAGGCGGGACGGCAAGUGUCGGGUGAAAGCCCUCGGCUCAACCGAGGAAUGGCCUGGCAAACUGCCGUCCUUGAGGCAGGCAGAGGUGGCUAGAACGACGGGUGGAGCGGUGAAAUGCGUAGAUAUCCGUUGGAAUGCCAGCGGCGAAAGCAGGCCACUGGGCCUGUCCUGACGCUGAGGAGCGAAAGCGUGGGGAGCGAACAGG